AGCCCAACUCUAGCCCAAACCAUAAUUCAAACAAAACUAACCAAAACCCUCUCCCCACCUCCAAAACCAAAGCAUUCUUUUAACUUAGUAUAGGCGAUAGAAAAGACCCCCUCUUGGCGCAAUAGAAACCUCUGUACCGCAAGGGAAAGAUGAAAUAACAAUGAAAAACCAAAGCAAUAAACAGCAAAGAUAAACUCUUGUACCUUUUGCAUCAUGAUUUAGCAAGAACAAUCAAGCAAAACGAACUAAAGCUUGUCACCCCGAAACCCAAGCGAGCUACUUACAAGCAGCUACCUUUGAGCGAACCCGUCUCUGUUGCAAAAGAGUGGGAUGACUUGUUAGUAGCGGUGAAAAGCCAACCGAGCUGGGUGAUAGCUGGUUGCCUGUGAAACGAAUUUAAGUUCUUUCUUGAUUUUUCUCUACAGACACUAAACCCAAACUACACCGAAGUAAAUCAAGAGUAAUUUAAAGGAGGUACAGCUCCUUUAAAAAAGAAUACAACCUCUCCUAGCGGAUAAUACCUCCUCACCCCAAAACUGUAGGCCUUUAAGCAGCCAUCAAUAAAGAGUGCGUCAAAGCUCACCUUAAAAAAAUCCAACAAUCAAUCUGACUCCCUUACCCUUAACAGGCUAACCUAUAGUAAUAGGAGAAUUAAUGCUAAAAUAAGUAACUAGGGACACCCCCCUCUCAAGCGCAAGCUUACAUCAUUACAUUAUUAACAGACUACGGCUAAUGCUGCAAACCAACAAGACCAAACAUUAAACUCACCCUGUUAACCCGACUCAGGAGCGCUUUAUUAGAAAGAUUGAAACCUGUAAAAGGAACUAGGCAAGCCCAAGGCCCGACUGUUUACCAAAAACAUAGCCUUCAGCCCAACAAGUAUUGAAGGUGAUGCCUGCCCAGUGACAUUAUGUUCAACGGCCGCGGUAUCCUAACCGUGCGAAGGUAGCGCAAUCAAUUGUCUCAUAAAUCGAGACUUGUAUGAAUGGCUAAACGAGGUCUUAACUGUCUCUUACAGGCAAUCAGUGAAAUUGAUCUUCCUGUGCAAAAGCAGGAAUAAGUACAUAAGACGAGAAGACCCUGUGGAACUUAAAAAUCAGCGACCACCACAUAUCACACCAUAACCCUAUUAGGCUCACAUCCCAAAAGAACUGGCCCGCAUUUUUCGGUUGGGGCGACCUUGGAGAAAAACAAACCCUCCAAAAUCAAGACCAUACUUCUUAAUCAAGAGCAACCCCUCAACGUACUAAUAGUAAUUCAGACCCAGUAUAACUGACCAAUGAACCAAGCUACCCCAGGGAUAACAGCGCAAUCUCCCUCAAGAGCCCAUAUCGACAGGGAGGUUUACGACCUCGAUGUUGGAUCAGGACAUCCUAAUGGUGCAGCCGCUAUUAAGGGUUCGUUUGUUCAACGAUUAACAGUCCUACGUGAUCUGAGUUCAGACCGGAGUAAUCCAGGUCGGUUUCUAUCUAUGAUAAACUUUCCCUAGUACGAAAGGACCGGGAAAGUAAGGCCAAUACCACAGGCACGCCUUCCCUCUAAAGUAAUGAACCCAACUAAAUUACCAAGAGGACUUUCCCCCUAAUCCUAGAUAAGGACCG
RNAcentral lists this ribosomal RNA (1601 nucleotides) under Grus grus (Eurasian crane). RNAcentral's name for it is "16S ribosomal RNA". The stretch from base 142 to 1489 matches the Rfam family "Bacterial large subunit ribosomal RNA". Lineage: Eukaryota; Metazoa; Chordata; Aves; Gruiformes; Gruidae. The record is from RNAcentral.